UGAUCGAGGCCCAGCCCGUGGACGGUGU
RNAcentral lists this non-coding RNA (28 nucleotides) under Gallus gallus (chicken). RNAcentral also lists the same sequence under 4 other names. Lineage: Eukaryota; Metazoa; Chordata; Aves; Galliformes; Phasianidae. The record is from RNAcentral.